RNAcentral lists this ribosomal RNA (413 nucleotides) under uncultured bacterium. RNAcentral's name for it is "bacterial SSU rRNA". It matches the Rfam family "Bacterial small subunit ribosomal RNA", at positions 355 to 776 of the family's 1533-position model. The record is from RNAcentral.
UCGAGGAUCUUCGGCAAUGGGCGCAAGCCUGACCGAGCGAGGCCGCGUGGGCGAUGAAGGCCUUCGGGUUGUAAAGCCCUGUCGAGGGGGAGAAAAGCCGAAAGGUUUGAUCUAUCCCUGGAGGAAGCACGGGCUAAGUUCGUGCCAGCAGCCGCGGUAAGACGAACCGUGCGAACGUUGUUCGGAAUCACUGGGCUUAAAGGGCGCGUAGGCGGGCUAUCAAGUCCGGGGUGAAAUCCUCCAGCUCAACUGGAGAACGGCCUCGGAUACUGAUGGUCUCGAGGGGGAUAGGGGCACACGGAACUGUGGGUGGAGCGGUGAAAUGCGUUGAUAUCCAUAGGAACUCCGGUGGCGAAAGCGGUGUGCUGGAUCCCUUCUGACGCUGAGGCGCGAAAGCCAGGGGAGCAAACGGG